AAGUCAGCCAAUUCUGCUUCUCUGAAUGUUCUUCCUCAGAAAUUUAGAAAAAGCUGGCAAUAGUGAUGCCAUGUUAUGAGCCUUAAGGACAACUGAGGUCAUUAAGGUCCCUGAAAAUGGCUGCAGUG
Molecule: small nucleolar RNA, 128 nt
Organism: Jaculus jaculus (lesser Egyptian jerboa)
Lineage: Eukaryota; Metazoa; Chordata; Mammalia; Rodentia; Dipodidae
Product: small nucleolar RNA SNORA33
Exons: 1
Source: RefSeq, a predicted model, not a curated record